This 301-nucleotide ribosomal RNA is filed under the name uncultured bacterium. Its description in RNAcentral is "partial 16S ribosomal RNA". It matches the Rfam family "Bacterial small subunit ribosomal RNA", at positions 509 to 809 of the family's 1533-position model. The record is from RNAcentral.
CAGUCGCCACGGGAAUACGUAGGUGGCAAGCGUUAUCCGGAAUUAUUGGGCGUAAAGCGCGCGCAGGCGGUUUCUUAAGUCUGAUGUGAAAGCCCACGGCUCAACCGUGGAGGGUCAUUGGAAACUGGGGAACUUGAGUGCAGAAGAGAAAAGCGGAAUUCCACGUGUAGCGGUGAAAUGCGUAGAGAUGUGGAGGAACACCAGUGGCGAAGGCGGCUUUUUGGUCUGUAACUGACGCUGAGGCGCGAAAGCGUGGGGAGCAAACAGGAUUAGAUACCCGUGUAGUCCCUGUCUCUUAUAU